This 119-nucleotide ribosomal RNA is filed under the name Pteropus alecto (black flying fox). Lineage: Eukaryota; Metazoa; Chordata; Mammalia; Chiroptera; Pteropodidae. The record is from RNAcentral.
GCCUACGGCCACGCCACCCUGAACAAGCCCGAUCCCGUCCGAUCUCGGAAGCUAAGUAGAGUCGGGCUUGGUUAGUACUUGGAUGGGAGACCACCUAGGAAGACCAGGUGCUGUAGGCA